GGGUUCUCGUGGUUUUUAGGGCUUUAUUUGAGAUAGACAGCUGUAGAUCAAAAAUAAGGAAAUUGGUCGCGAUAUUUGAAUAAACGCAGUUUCCUAUCAAUUGUUACACGAUCGUUUAAAUAGCAGUGAUUAUCAAGUGUGCUUCACUUUGCAAACCAAGGAAAACAAAAUGAACAAGCUACUACUCGUCGCUCUUUUGCUCGGCAUGCUCAUGAUGGUGCAAGACUCUGAGGCUUGGUGGAUUCGGAGGCGUAGACGUUACGUAAGGCGUAGACGUUACGUAUCGCGUAGACGUUGGUACCAGCACAGGUCUACUAGAGAUGGGUUGGGUACAGAUGAGAACGAAGAAAUGGAGUCAAAAGAAGAUUCCAACAUGAACAUUGAAAAUAUCGAUUAUUUACAAGAUUUACAAAACCAGAUUGAGCAGUAAUUGAAAAAACGGAAUAGCAGAUAAGGAACACAUAAAGAUUGAAUGAUACUGCCUUUCUUUUUGCCAUUCCAGUAAAUAAAUAACCAGCAACAAA
This is a non-coding RNA of Ciona intestinalis (vase tunicate), 524 nucleotides long. NCBI's taxonomy places the organism in Eukaryota, Metazoa, Chordata, Ascidiacea, Phlebobranchia, Cionidae. The record is from RefSeq and is a predicted model, not a curated record.